GGUACCGGGCAUUCAACCCAUGCCCAGCCUGCCUGGAGCAGCCUUCCCCCUGAAAAAACAAUCCUGCACCCAGUGGACCAGAGGAGGCUUUGGUGCUGCCCCAUUUCCAGCCUGGGCUCAGCUGGGAGUGGUGGCAGGGCUGGAAGGAGCCACAGCCCCAUCAGAGGGUGGAACUGCCCGGGAGUUCAGGUGCCUGCAGCUCCUGGAGCCUCUGCUCCUCCUGCCUGCCUCGGAUCAGCCUGGAGCAGCAGCAUGGCCUCACCUGGAGGAGGAGCAUGGCAUCACCUGGAGGAGGGGCAUGGCAUCACCUGGAGCAGCAGCAUGGCCUCACUUGGGAGCAGGAGGUUGCCAUCACCUGGGAACAGGAGCAUGGCAUCACCUGGAGCAGGAGCUUGGCAUCACCUGGAGCAGGAGGUGGCCUCACCUGGAGCAGGAGGUGACAUCACCUGGGAGCAGCAGCAUGGCAUCACCUGGAGCAGGAGCAUGGCAUCACCUGGAGCAGCAGGUGGGGUCACCUGGAGCAGCAGGUGGGGUCACCUGGGCCUCCCCAUGGACCUCAGGGACUGCUGCCAGCUGGACCAGCUCCUGCCACUGCCCUGGAGGGACCUGGUCAAUCUCUCUCCUCUCUGGGGAGUGUCUGCCCAUCUCUUGGGGAAGUUCCUGUGGUUAAUUAAAGAAAGGCCAGCAGGAGUCAAGGCGGUGUCUCGUAUUUGGGGAAUUAGGAUGCUGUGGGGAGCCUGGAGGAGAAGAAAGCACAGGAGGAAUACAAUAAUGACAGGGCUCAGUGAGCACUGCCAGCAGUCAAGGCCCAGAACCAUUUGCUGGAUGAUUUGGUGAGAUAUUGCAGGAGAAGGUGGGAUAACAGAGCUCUAAAGUCAGGGACUAAAACUCCACUUGUUGACAGCAGGAGGAAGGCACAGUGCUGGGAACGAGCUGAAACAAAUGUGCUUGAUUAAAUGAAGCUUGUGGGAUCACAUAUUUCUGUGCUGACAAAGUGAUUGCUGCAGAUCUCACCUGGCAGGACCUUUUACCUUUCUUGGAAUGCAGGUUUUCUGUAACAGGAGAGUUUUUCCACCCUCCACACCCCUCAGCUUGUUUUCCUUACAGUGAGGAUUUCUUCCACUGCUACAUGAUCCACCAAACAGCUUUUUGCUGCUGCUUUGUCACCCCCACGGUGAGACUGAGCAGGGGCUGGCAUCCAGCCACCUUCCCCAGCAGCCAGGGGGGAGUUGCUGUGCUUUCUGCACCCUGGGGUCCCUCUCUCCAGGUAAAGCACCCCACAGUCAAUGGGGAGUGAAACAGGCCACGUGUUCUCUUUUCCCUAAAGAGAAAAUUGCCAUUUUGGGGAAAAAUUGAGCCCUUAAAUGGAAAAUUCAACAAAUUGUAGACAUUGGGUGGCACCUCUUUAAAUUGUGCUUUUGUGAAUUUAUUUGUUUUCUCCUUUCCUAAAGCACUGGGGAUUGUUAUAGGUAGCAAGCAGCAGAGGGGGGCUAAAAUGAUCUGAAAAAUUAAAAGCAGUGUCGUUAUCUUUCUGCAAAGAUGUUCCCCAAAACAUCUUUUCCUGGCCAUGUCGUGCUUGGUUUUUAGUGGCUCAAAGGAAAGUUUUACAGCUCCCAAAACAGCAAUUCUGCAUCCCGAGGAGGAUGAAGGAUGAAGCAGGAUCUGCCUCUCCUGUACCAGAUUGUUUUGCUCUCCUAUGGCUGCGCUUGUCCCUGAGCUUUCAUUGCCCUGGAGAGAGGCAGAGGGCUGCAGGAAUGCUGGAGAAGCCCAGACCUUGAUGUGUGACAGCAAAGCCACUGGACAGACCCCUGAGAGCGAGAAGAGAGGAGGAUUCCAGCCCCCCGCCUGGUGCCAGCU
This is a long non-coding RNA of Pyrgilauda ruficollis (rufous-necked snowfinch), 1857 nucleotides long. RefSeq lists it as uncharacterized. The record is from RefSeq and is a predicted model, not a curated record. NCBI's taxonomy places the organism in Eukaryota, Metazoa, Chordata, Aves, Passeriformes, Passeridae. The transcript has 4 exons.